RNAcentral lists this ribosomal RNA (460 nucleotides) under uncultured bacterium. Its description in RNAcentral is "partial 16S ribosomal RNA". It matches the Rfam family "Bacterial small subunit ribosomal RNA", at positions 338 to 795 of the family's 1533-position model. The record is from RNAcentral.
CCUACGGGAGGCAGCAGUGUGGAAUAUUGGUCAAUGGACGAGAGUCUGAACCAGCCAAGUAGCGUGAAGGAUGAAUGCCCUAUGGGUUGUAAACUUCUUUUAUAAAGGAAUAAAACGAGGCACGUGUGCCUGUUUGCAUGUACUUUAUGAAUAAGGAUCGGCUAACUCCGUGCCAGCAGCCGCGGUAAUACGGAGGAUCCGAGCGUUAUCCGGAUUUAUUGGGUUUAAAGGGAGCGUAGAUGGGUUGUUAAGUCAGUUGUGAAAGUUUGCGGCUCAACCGUAAAAGUGCAAUUGAUACUGGCAGUCUUGAGUACAGUUGAGGUAAGCGGAAUUCGUGGUGUAGCGGUGAAAUGCUUAGAUAUCACGAAGAACCCCGAUUGCGAAGGCAGCUUACUAAACUGUGACUGACAUUGAUGCUCGAAAGUGUGGGUAUCAAACAGGAUUAGAUACCCCGGUAGUC